This 1146-nucleotide unclassified non-coding RNA is filed under the name Hevea brasiliensis (rubber tree). The record is from RNAcentral. Lineage: Eukaryota; Viridiplantae; Streptophyta; Magnoliopsida; Malpighiales; Euphorbiaceae.
UGGUGGAGGGAGGUGCAGACAAUGUUAAUCAAUGCUUUCUUGAAGCCUCUCGUUUUGGGAGCACUGAGCUUGUCCGCAUUCUCUUGCAGAUUGCUCAAAGGAAUAGUUUGGAUGUUGAUGUCGACCUGGCUUUGGGAUUUGCUUCUCAUUAUGGUAAAAUUGGAACUAUGGAAUGUUUAGUGGAAGAAGGGAAUGCAAUGGCAUUCUUGGGACCUUUGAUGAGAGCUGCCGAAAGGGGAUCCAUGCAGGUAGUUGACUGGUUUGUUAAAAGGGGUUGCAGAGAUAUGGAACUAUGUCUGGCCCUCACUGCUGCUACUUCCAGUAGUCAGGUUGAAGUUGCUCGAUAUCUCCUUCCUCAUGUUCCUCAGCAUGUUCUUGCUGCCCUAAGCAUUGAGAUUCUUAAGGCUGCUGGUGAAAGAAGUAGCGGGUCUCUCGAUGGAGUAGCAUUUCUCCUAAGUUCGGACUUCCUCGGUGAUCCCAUUGCCACUUAUGCUGUCGCUGACAGCAUUGCGAAGUCUGAUGACGAGGCUGUGGCUCCUGCACUCAGGUCUUUCCUUCGAGAGCAUUGGUCAGAAGCUGCUUUCUCAGACGGACUUAGGCAGGGACAAGAACACUACUGUAACCUGUUGCGUAUUAUGAAAUGGGGGGAAUCUCCCGUGUGUUUGAGGGACAUCCCGGGGCCAUUGAGGAUAGCAAUAGCAUACCUGCCACUGUAUAGGGAAUGUGUCAAGGCAGGGGGUUGUUUGUUAUCACAAAGACUUAAGGGCCAGCUUGUGGAAGCAGCAAAAAGGCUCGACGGUGUAGUGCUUGAAGAAGUAAAGCAAGGGAGAGAACUAUUGGCUGUUUUGGAGCAUCAUCUUCCUCCAUUUUUGCAUAAUAAUGCAUCCAAUGCUGCUUAGUUUUUGAAAAUUUUCACAUAUCUUGUCUCUUCAACGAAGUCUAAUAACACAAUGGUUGGUGCAUUGAAUGUGAGCAAGAAGCCCUCUUAAGGUUGGUCAGUUAUCUUAAUGAACCAGACCUUUGUGUUGGCUUAAGAUAAUUGUACCUGCAGAGAGUCUACAAUUUGCAUAUUUCUGAUGUGUAUGUUGAGUAACUACAUUCACAAGUCUGGGAACUCAAAUGGACAUGCAAUAUUGGCUAUUUUCA